Molecule: ribosomal RNA, 485 nt
Filed under: uncultured bacterium
Lineage: Bacteria
Description: partial 16S ribosomal RNA
Rfam family: Bacterial small subunit ribosomal RNA
Source: RNAcentral
AUUGAACGCUGGCGGCAUGCCUUACACAUGCAAGUCGAACGGCAGCACGGGUGCUUGCACCUGGUGGCGAGUGGCGAACGGGUGAGUAAUACAUCGGAACAUGUCCUGUAGUGGGGAUAGCCCGGCGAAAGCCGGGUUAAUACCGCAUACGAUCCUCCGAUGAACGGGGGGGACCCUCGGGGCUCGGCCGAAAGGGGUUGGCGAUGGCUGAUUAGCUAGUUGGUGGGGGAAAGGCCUACCAAGGCGACGAUCAGUAUCUGGUCUGAGAGGACGACCAGCCACACUGGGACUGAGACACGGCCCAGACUCCUACGGGAGGCAGCAGUGGGGAAUUUUGGACAAUGGGCGAAAGCCUGAUCCAGCAAUGCCGCGUGUGUGAAGAAGGCCUUCGGGUUGUAAAGCACUUUUGUCCGGAAGGAAAUCCUUGGCCCUAAUACGGUCAGGGGAUGACGGUACCGGAAGAAUAAGCACCGGCUAACUACGUG